RNAcentral lists this ribosomal RNA (475 nucleotides) under Enterococcus rivorum. RNAcentral's name for it is "bacterial SSU rRNA". It matches the Rfam family "Bacterial small subunit ribosomal RNA", at positions 411 to 877 of the family's 1533-position model. The record is from RNAcentral. Lineage: Bacteria; Bacillati; Bacillota; Bacilli; Lactobacillales; Enterococcaceae.
AAGAUUUUCGGAUCCCUAAAACCAGUUGGUAGAGUAGGACAAGGAGGUGGAUUGACUGGUCAUCCAUUGACGGUAUUUACCCAGAAAGCCACGGCUAAGUACGUGCCAGCAGCCGCGGUAAUACGUAGGCGGCAAGCGUUGUCCGGAUUUAUUGGGCGUAAAGCGAGCGCAGGCGGUUUUCUAAGUCUGAUGUGAAAGCCCCCGGCUCAACUGUGGAGGGUCAGUGGAAAGUGGGAAACUUGAGUUCAGAAGAGGAGAGUGGAAUUCCAUGUGUAGCGGUGAAAUGCGUAGAUAUAUGGAGGAACACCAGUGGCGAAGGCGGCUUUCUGGUCUGUAACUGACGCUGAGGCUCGAAAGCAUGGGGAGCAAACAGGAUUAGAUACCCUGGUAGUCCACGCCGUAAACGAUGAGUACUAAGUGUUGGAGGGUUUCCGCCCUUCAGUGCUGCAGCAAACGCAUUAACCAUCCGCCUGGG